ACAUUCUGUGUCAAAAUAUAAAUUACUCUGCGACCAAGCCACCCCAAAUCUGUGUUGGUCUGUCAGCUCAAAUGGAGCCACUUGUGGUAUGUGUGGAGAAUGAAGUGUGCAGACCAGCCGAUCUUCUCUACAGAGCAGGCUAGAAGCCAUACGUCCAGGAUGUACUGCUGAGCGCUUGGUGGAAGUCAGUGCAAGAGAGACACAAAAAUACUUCCUGAAUCCAGAGGCGCGAAUUUUCGUGAGUGCACUCAGCGAGACAGGUCCACAUCCUGUGGACCUUUAUCCCACAUCCACCUUGAAUCCAUGGGCACCGGUGUUCCACGGGUAGAGUAUAAUUGUGUUCAAUGCAUCAUUGAUAGUUGCUCGUCAAACUGUACCCA
Molecule: long non-coding RNA, 380 nt
Organism: Schistocerca americana (American grasshopper)
Lineage: Eukaryota; Metazoa; Arthropoda; Insecta; Orthoptera; Acrididae
Exons: 4
Source: RefSeq, a predicted model, not a curated record